This 205-nucleotide ribosomal RNA is filed under the name uncultured Streptococcus sp. Its description in RNAcentral is "partial 16S ribosomal RNA". It matches the Rfam family "Bacterial small subunit ribosomal RNA", at positions 1180 to 1384 of the family's 1533-position model. The record is from RNAcentral. Lineage: Bacteria; Bacillati; Bacillota; Bacilli; Lactobacillales; Streptococcaceae.
UGACGUCAAAUCAUCAUGCCCCUUAUGACCUGGGCUACACACGUGCUACAAUGGUUGGUACAACGAGUUGCGAGUCGGUGACGGCGAGCUAAUCUCUUAAAGCCAAUCUCAGUUCGGAUUGUAGGCUGCAACUCGCCUACAUGAAGUCGGAAUCGCUAGUAAUCGCGGAUCAGCACGCCGCGGUGAAUACGUUCCCGGGCCUUGU